This is a long non-coding RNA of Peromyscus eremicus (cactus mouse), 560 nucleotides long. RefSeq lists it as uncharacterized. Lineage: Eukaryota; Metazoa; Chordata; Mammalia; Rodentia; Cricetidae. The transcript is spliced from 2 exons. The record is from RefSeq and is a predicted model, not a curated record.
AAAGAAAAAAAGAGAAGAAGAAGAAGAAGAAGAAGAAGAAGAAGAAGAAGAAGAAAGGAAGAGGCGGAGGAAGAGGAAGAGGAGGGUCCACACAGUCCCAGAAGUUACUUGAAUGGAGAAGCAACUCUGAGACAGUUCAGGAUCAUUGGAAGAGUCAUCCACGGUGUGCUGCCAUUUCUAAUGAGCUAGGAACGCAGUCUUUAAAGCUCCAGUUAACGUGUGUGCAGAUGGGAGCUUGGGGGACCAUUUCUCUAAAUGAUGCUCUCCAUGAAUAACCAUCACCCCUCAUAUCUGGCAGGGAGGGGCCCCUUCUGUGUCCUAAUGUGGGAGUUCCUCAUCCUGCAUAGACUCAGAGUCCCUGGUGCGCCAAGGGGAAGCAAAUUAGUUUCACUUACAAUUAGGUGUCUCAAAGAAAGGUUUGAUUUCGAUUUAAUAAGAAAAAAGAUUCCAAGUUAAACAGAUCACAACUGAUUAUUAAGACCAGAAUUACUAAAGUUGCCACCAAUGCCUAUCUUAUUUCCAAGUUGCUAAACCUCAAUAAAUGCCAUUUUAAUAAUUAA